UACAGAGGGUGCGAGCGUUAAUCGGAAUUACUGGGCGUAAAGCGUGCGUAGACGGUAGCGUAAGUCAGAUGUGAAAGCCCCGGGCUCAACCCGGGAGGGUCGUGGCAAACCGGCGGGCUUGAGGCCGGUAGAGGUGGGUGGAACUCCUGGUGUAGCGGUGAAAUGCGCAGAUAUCAGGAGGAACACCGAUGGCGAAGGCAGCUCGCUGGGACGUGACUGACGCUGAGACGCGAAAGCGUGGGGAGCAAACAGG
This 253-nucleotide ribosomal RNA is filed under the name uncultured bacterium. Its description in RNAcentral is "partial 16S ribosomal RNA". It matches the Rfam family "Bacterial small subunit ribosomal RNA", at positions 524 to 776 of the family's 1533-position model. The record is from RNAcentral.